Molecule: long non-coding RNA, 1169 nt
Organism: Pogoniulus pusillus (Red-fronted tinkerbird)
Lineage: Eukaryota; Metazoa; Chordata; Aves; Piciformes; Lybiidae
Exons: 3
Source: RefSeq, a predicted model, not a curated record
CUGAGCACCUUCUCAUCGCUGCUGCUCACUCUGCACUGCUGCUUUUCUCCACUGGCACUGCACUGCACCAGACCAGCACAGCUGAGUUAGGAGAUGAAGUUGCUGCAUCUGCCAUGUGGAAGCAUCUGCAGACUUCUUCCAGGCCUUCCAAUGUCCUUCAUCCUGAGGCAAACAGCUUCCCAAAUGUUGUGUGCACCUUUCCUCCAAACCCCUGCAUUUCUACGUUGGGCAGCAAAGGGCUGAGGAUGAUUUCUUCCUGAGCAGCCACAAAGCUCCCAGCUGGGUGCUUCCCAUUCCUGCCAGGAAGCAGGACAAUGCUAGAUGCCAAACACAAGAGACAUUGUCCAGCCCUACAUUCCCCUGGAGAUAAGCAAGGCAUUGCCUUUGGCUUCCAAAAGACACCAACAGAACUGCUCAAAAGCUUCAAAGGCACCAUGAGGAAGACAGCUCCAAGGAGGCAGAACCAAACUCCACACAUGUCCAGCAGGAGGAAAGUCCAGCUUCAGGCAUCUGGAACUGCCAAACGUGACCAAAAGGGCACACAGGGUUCACAGCACGAGUGACUGAUGAAAUGGGCUUCAUGAAGACACACUUUUGGUCACAGCUGCUGCUAGGACUAGACUGGAAGGGAUCCAAACAGCAGGAGGAAGUGAGAGCAUUAGUCAGUUAGAAGGGGAGCUCAACAGCUUGCUCCUCUAAAGCAAUCCCAGCCUCCAAACCCCAAAUCUUUAACCCAAAUGACUCUUCCAGAUGGCACUUAGAAAACUAGUCUGGAGUUGUUGUAGACCAGCAAAAAGGCCAUCACAGCUUUCCUGCACCCCUCUUGAACUGAGCAAACAGCACACAACAGAAGCUCUCCAGCUCCUGGUGGCUGCUCCCCACCAAAACUUCAUUGGCCUGAGUUGGGCAAAACUUCAUUGGCCUGAGUUGGGCAAAACUUCAUUGGUCUGAGUUGAGCAAAACUUCAUUGGCCUGAGUUGAUCAAAACUUCAUUGGCCUGAGUUGGGCAAAACUUCAUUGGCCUGAGUUGGGCAAAACUUCAUUGGCCUGAGUUGAUCAAAACUUCAUUGGCCUGAGUUGAGCAAAACUUCACUGGCCUGAGUUGAGCAAAACUUCACUGGCCUGAGUUGAGCAAAACUUUAUUGGCCUGAGUUAAUUAAAGACUUUGU